GGCUCGUUAGCUCAGCGGUUAGAGCACCCAUCUGAUCUGUUAGUAGUGGCGGUCGGGGGUUCAAAUCCCUCACGAGCCU
This 79-nucleotide transfer RNA is filed under the name Heliconius melpomene (postman butterfly). Its description in RNAcentral is "tRNA HMEL016009". It matches the Rfam family "tRNA". Rfam says of the family: Transfer RNA (tRNA) molecules are approximately 80 nucleotides in length. Their secondary structure includes four short double-helical elements and three loops (D, anti-codon, and T loops). Further hydrogen bonds mediate the characteristic L-shaped molecular structure. tRNAs have two regions of fundamental functional importance: the anti-codon, which is responsible for specific mRNA codon recognition, and the 3' end, to which the tRNAs corresponding amino acid is attached (by aminoacyl-tRNA synthetases). tRNAs cope with the degeneracy of the genetic code in two manners: having more than one tRNA (with a specific anti-codon) for a particular amino acid; and 'wobble' base-pairing, i.e. permitting non-standard base-pairing at the 3rd anti-codon position. Lineage: Eukaryota; Metazoa; Arthropoda; Insecta; Lepidoptera; Nymphalidae. The record is from RNAcentral.